This is a long non-coding RNA of Medicago truncatula (barrel medic), 656 nucleotides long. RefSeq lists it as uncharacterized. NCBI's taxonomy places the organism in Eukaryota, Viridiplantae, Streptophyta, Magnoliopsida, Fabales, Fabaceae. The transcript is spliced from 2 exons. The record is from RefSeq and is a predicted model, not a curated record.
AUUGCGAGAACAAACAAUAAUAGAGUUCUAAGAUAAAAUUUUAACAAAAAAUGGCAAAACACAUUUCGCAAUAUUUUCUCUUGGGAAUUUUAUGCAUUGUGUUGGUUCUAGCUUUGGGACCAACACCAGUUUUGAGUCAGUGCAUUUGGCCUGGGAUGUGUCUUGGCCCUGCUAUUUGCGACGCAAGGUGCAAGUUUCUGCUACGUCCAGGAGGACGAUGCCUUGGAUUUGUUUGUUGUUGUACGUAAUGAAAUAAAUUACAUUAUUAUAAAUAUUUAUAUCUAUUUUACUAAAUAAGAAACAUCUUCCUCCAAAGCUUUUAUUUAUAUAUGUUUGAAGCAUAUAUAUCAAGUAUGGGUAUAAGAAUAAGUGAAGAACUUGAAAGUAGUGUGGCCAAGCUCAAUGUGAAAGAAAGUAAGAAAGAGCAUAUAAUAGUGUGCUGGACCAAUAAAAAAAGAUGCUAGCAAGGUCUUGAAUUUAUAGUAGUGGAAACAAAACGGAGUACGUGUGAAAAAACACAAAUUAGAUUUGGUGUAUUUUCGUCUUGUACCACCGAGCAUUUCCAUUAAGUAAUAUCUAUGUACUAAAUGUGUGAAUUAGCUCAUAACCAAUGAAUAGCUACUAUUUUGCAACAUCACUAUACUUAAGUUACAAUA